AAGAGGGAAAGAAUAAAAAUAGCUUCUAACUAAUUUUUAAAGCGGUUAAACUCCGUUUACCUCUUU
This 66-nucleotide transfer RNA is filed under the name Japanagallia curvipenis. RNAcentral's name for it is "tRNA-Ser". Lineage: Eukaryota; Metazoa; Arthropoda; Insecta; Hemiptera; Cicadellidae. The record is from RNAcentral. RNAcentral also lists the same sequence under 1 other name.